Molecule: ribosomal RNA, 1439 nt
Filed under: uncultured bacterium
Lineage: Bacteria
Description: bacterial SSU rRNA
Rfam family: Bacterial small subunit ribosomal RNA
Source: RNAcentral
UAGAGUUUGAUCCUGGCUCAGGAUGAACGCUGGCGGCGUGCCUUAAGCAUGCAAGUCAAGGGGUCCCGACGUAAGUCGGGGUACCGGCGGACGGGUGAGUAAUGCGUGGGAAUCUACCUUGAAGUUGGACAUAGCUCAUCGAAAGAUGGGGUAAUUUCCAAUGUGCCCUGAGGUCGCAAGACCGAAGGGUAAAGCAGCAAUGCGCUUUGAGAUGAGCCUGCGUCCUAUCAGCUUGUUGGUGGGGUAAAUGCCUACCAAGGCGACGACGGGUAGCUGGUCUGAGAGGAUGGUCAGCCACAGUAGCACUGCGACACGGGCUACACACCUACGGGUGGCAGCAACUGGGAAUAUUCGGCAAUGGGCGAAAGCCUGACCGAGCGACGCCGCGUGGAGGAUUGAAGGCCUUCGGGUUGUAAACUCCUUUUAUCAGGGAAGAUUAUGACGGUACCUGGUGAAUAAGCCGUUGCUAACUACGUGCCAGAAGCCUCGGUAAUACGUAGGCGGCAAGCGUUAUCCGGAUUCAUUGGGCGUAAAGAGUUGCGUAGGCGGUCCGAUAGAUUUUGCCUUAAACAUUAUGACUUAAUUAUAAAUUUGGGCAAAAUAUCAUCGGACUUGAUGGUUGGAGAGGGUGCUGGAACAGAUUGUGGAGCAGUGAAAUGCGUUGAUAUGAUCUGGAACACCAAAGGCGUAGGCAGGCACCUAGUCAACCCAUGACGCUGAGGCACGAAAGCCAGGGUAGCGAAGCAGAUUAGAGACCUGCGUAGUCCUGGCCGUAAACGAUGGAUGCUAGAUAGUCGGAUUUUUCUGACUGUCGCAGCUAACGCGUUAAGCAUCCCGCCUGGGGAGUACGAGCGCAAGCUUAAAACUCAAAGGAAUUGACGGGGACCCGCACAAGCAGUGGAGCGUGUGGUUUAAUUCGAUACAAAACGAAAAACCUCACCAGGGUUUGACAUGUACCCGCAAGCGCACGGAAACGUGUGACCUUCGAGGGUGGUACACAGAUGCUGCAUGGCUGUCGUCAGCUCGUGGCGUGAGCUGUACCCUUAAGUGGGACAACGAGCGCAACCCGCACCGUAUGUUAAAUUAUUCAUGCGGAACGGUCCCGAGUAUAUCGGGAAGGAAGGCGCGGAUGACGUCAAGUCAGCACGGUUCUUACACCCUGGGCUACACACACACUACAAUGGCGAAUAACAACGAGCUGCAAGCCGGUAACGGCAAGCUAAUCUCUAAAAUUUCGCCCCAGUUCAGAUUGAGGGCUGCAAUUCGCCCUCAUGAAGUCGGAAUUGCUAGUAAUCGCGGAUCAGCAAGCCGCGGUGAAUACGUUCUCGGGUCUUGUACACACCGCCCGUCAAGGCAGCAAAGUUGGGGGCACCCGAAUAACCUUUUGCGAGGUUAGAAGGUGACACCAGCGAUGAGGCUUAAGUCGUAACAAGGUAACC